UACGUAGGGGCUAGCGUUAUCCGGAAUUACUGGGCGUAAAGGGUGCGUAGGCGGUCUUUCAAGCCAGAAGUGAAAGGCUACGGCUCAACCGUAGUAAGCCUUUGAAACUGAGAAACUUGAGUGCAGGAGAGGAGAGUAGAAUUCCUAGUGUAGCGGUGAAAUGCGUAGAUAUUAGGAGGAAUACCAGUUGCGAAGGCGGCUCUCUGGACUGUAACUGACACUGAGGCACGAAAGCGUGGGGAGCAAACAGGAUUAGAUACCCGCGUAGUCCCU
RNAcentral lists this ribosomal RNA (273 nucleotides) under uncultured prokaryote. RNAcentral's name for it is "partial 16S ribosomal RNA". It matches the Rfam family "Bacterial small subunit ribosomal RNA", at positions 524 to 798 of the family's 1533-position model. The record is from RNAcentral.